Molecule: ribosomal RNA, 591 nt
Filed under: uncultured bacterium
Lineage: Bacteria
Description: bacterial SSU rRNA
Rfam family: Bacterial small subunit ribosomal RNA
Source: RNAcentral
CCUACGGGAGGCAGCAGUAGGGAAUCUUCCGCAAUGGACGAAAGUCUGACGGAGCAACGCCGCGUGAACGAUGAAGGCCUUCGGGUCGUAAAGUUCUGUUGUUAGGGAAGAACAAGUGCUAGUUGAAUAAGCUGGCACCUUGACGGUACCUAACCAGAAAGCCACGGCUAACUACGUGCCAGCAGCCGCGGUAAUACGUAGGUGGCAAGCGUUGUCCGGAAUUAUUGGGCGUAAAGCGCGCGCAGGCGGUUUCUUAAGUCUGAUGUGAAAGCCCCCGGCUCAACCGGGGAGGGUCAUUGGAAACUGGGAAACUUGAGUGCAGAAGAGGAAAGUGGAAUUCCAAGUGUAGCGGUGAAAUGCGUAGAGAUUUGGAGGAACACCAGUGGCGAAGGCGACUUUCUGGUCUGUAACUGACGCUGAGGCGCGAAAGCGUGGGGAGCAAACAGGAUUAGAUACCCUGGUAGUCCACGCUGUAAACGAUGAGUGCUAAGUGUUAGUAGGGUUUCCGCCUUUAGUGCUAGAAGUUACGCUAUUAAGCACUCCGCCGUGGGGAGUACGGUCGACAAGACUAGAACUNAAAUGAAUUGACGG